UACGUAGGGCGCAAGCGUUGUCCGGAAUUAUUGGGCGUAAAGAGCUCGUAGGCGGUUUGUCACGUCGGAUGUGAAAGCCCGGGGCUUAACCCCGGGUCUGCAUUCGAUACGGGCAGACUGGAGUGUGGUAGGGGAGAUCGGAAUUCCAGGUGUAGCGGUGAAAUGCGUAGAUAUCUGGAGGAAUACCGGUGGCGAAGGCGGCAUCCUGGACCGACAUUGACGCUGAGGAGCGAAAGCUAGGGGAGCAAACGGG
RNAcentral lists this ribosomal RNA (253 nucleotides) under uncultured bacterium. RNAcentral describes it as "partial 16S ribosomal RNA". It matches the Rfam family "Bacterial small subunit ribosomal RNA", at positions 524 to 776 of the family's 1533-position model. The record is from RNAcentral.